This 72-nucleotide transfer RNA is filed under the name Bos taurus (domestic cattle). It matches the Rfam family "tRNA". From Rfam's summary of the family: Transfer RNA (tRNA) molecules are approximately 80 nucleotides in length. Their secondary structure includes four short double-helical elements and three loops (D, anti-codon, and T loops). Lineage: Eukaryota; Metazoa; Chordata; Mammalia; Artiodactyla; Bovidae. The record is from Rfam by way of RNAcentral. RNAcentral also lists the same sequence under 5 other names.
UCCCUGUUGGCUCAGACGGUAAAGCAUCUGCUUGCAAUGAGAGAGACCUAGGUUUGAUCCCUGGAUUGGGAA